Molecule: small RNA, 144 nt
Filed under: Flavobacterium sp. 81
Lineage: Bacteria; Pseudomonadati; Bacteroidota; Flavobacteriia; Flavobacteriales; Flavobacteriaceae
Also listed under: 1 other name
Description: Flavo-1 RNA
Source: RNAcentral
CCCUAGCCCUGAUGGAAAUGAAAAGCCACGAAAAGUAAAACUGCAUUUUUUCUUGGGUUUAAAAAGCGACCAGCGGAAGCUCUUUUAAGGCCUUAGAAAAAAGCUGUUUUGCCUGAGUGCUUGCAAUGAACAGCGGGAAAUAGC